GAUGAACGCUAGCUACAGGCUUAACACAUGCAAGUCGCGGGGCAGCAUGGGGGUUGCUUGCAACCCCUGAUGGCGACCGGCGCACGGGUGAGUAACGCGUAUCCAACCUGCCCUUCACCACGGGAUAACCCGGCGAAAGUCGGACUAAUACCGUAUGUUGUCCAUUGACGGCAUCCGAUUUGGACGAAAGGCUUAGCGGUGAGGGAUGGGGAUGCGUCCGAUUAGCUUGACGGCGGGGUAACGGCCCACUGUGGCAACGAUCGGUAGGGGUUCUGAGAGGAAGGUCCCCCACACUGGAACUGAGACACGGUCCAGACUCCUACGGGAGGCAGCAGUGAGGAAUAUUGGUCAAUGGGCGGAAGCCUGAACCAGCCAAGUAGCGUGCAGGAUGACGGCCCUAUGGGUUGUAAACUGCUUUUAUGCGGGGAUAAAGGAGCCCACGUGUGGGUUUUUGCAGGUACC
Molecule: ribosomal RNA, 462 nt
Filed under: Prevotella sp. oral taxon 317
Lineage: Bacteria; Pseudomonadati; Bacteroidota; Bacteroidia; Bacteroidales; Prevotellaceae
Description: bacterial SSU rRNA
Rfam family: Bacterial small subunit ribosomal RNA
Source: RNAcentral